GGGGAUUCUUCUCUAAUCUUUCAGAAACUUUGUCUGCGAACACUCUUUAAUGGACCAGAUCAGGAUUUGAGCGGAAGAACGAAUGUAACUUUAAGAGGCAUUUCAUCCUUCAUGAAGCCAUUCAGGAUUUUGAAUUGCAUAUGAGUGCUUGGCUCUUCCUUCUGUUCUAACUUCACAGAGAAUGCAGUUGUCUUGACUUCAGAUGCAACCUUAAAAUCAGUGACAAGAAACAUU
Molecule: long non-coding RNA, 234 nt
Filed under: Homo sapiens (human)
Lineage: Eukaryota; Metazoa; Chordata; Mammalia; Primates; Hominidae
Description: non-protein coding MALAT1:35
Source: RNAcentral